This 2930-nucleotide ribosomal RNA is filed under the name Salmonella enterica. RNAcentral's name for it is "23S ribosomal RNA". It matches the Rfam family "Bacterial large subunit ribosomal RNA". The record is from RNAcentral. Lineage: Bacteria; Pseudomonadati; Pseudomonadota; Gammaproteobacteria; Enterobacterales; Enterobacteriaceae.
GGGUUGUGAGGUUAAGCGACCAAGCGUACACGGUGGAUGCCCUGGCAGUCAGAGGCGAUGAAGGACGUGCUAAUCUGCGAAAAGCGCCGGUAAGGUGAUAUGAACCGUUAUAACCGGCGAUGUCCGAAUGGGGAAACCCAGUGUGACUCGUCACACUAUCAUUAACUGAAUCCAUAGGUUAAUGAGGCGAACCGGGGGAACUGAAACAUCUAAGUACCCCGAGGAAAAGAAAUCAACCGAGAUUCCCCCAGUAGCGGCGAGCGAACGGGGAGGAGCCCAGAGCCUGAAUCAGCAUGUGUGUUAGUGGAAGCGUCUGGAAAGGCGCGCGAUACAGGGUGACAGCCCCGUACACAAAAGCGCACGUGCUGUGAGCUCGAUGAGUAGGGCGGGACACGUGGUAUCCUGUCUGAAUAUGGGGGGACCAUCCUCCAAGGCUAAAUACUCCUGACUGACCGAUAGUGAACCAGUACCGUGAGGGAAAGGCGAAAAGAACCCCGGCGAGGGGAGUGAAACAGAACCUGAAACCGUGUACGUACAAGCAGUGGGAGCCUCUCUUUAUGGGGGGUGACUGCGUACCUUUUGUAUAAUGGGUCAGCGACUUAUAUUCUGUAGCAAGGUUAACCGCAUAGGGGAGCCGAAGGGAAACCGAGUCUUAACCGGGCGUUAAGUUGCAGGGUAUAGACCCGAAACCCGGUGAUCUAGCCAUGGGCAGGUUGAAGGUUGGGUAACACUAACUGGAGGACCGAACCGACUAAUGUUGAAAAAUUAGCGGAUGACCUGUGGCUGGGGGUGAAAGGCCAAUCAAACCGGGAGAUAGCUGGUUCUCCCCGAAAGCUAUUUAGGUAGCGCCUCGUGAACUCAUCUCCGGGGGUAGAGCACUGUUUCGGCUAGGGGGCCAUCCCGGCUUACCAACCCGAUGCAAACUGCGAAUACCGGAGAAUGUUAUCACGGGAGACACACGGCGGGUGCUAACGUCCGUCGUGAAGAGGGAAACAACCCAGACCGCCAGCUAAGGUCCCAAAGUCAUGGUUAAGUGGGAAACGAUGUGGGAAGGCCCAGACAGCCAGGAUGUUGGCUUAGAAGCAGCCAUCAUUUAAAGAAAGCGUAAUAGCUCACUGGUCGAGUCGGCCUGCGCGGAAGAUGUAACGGGGCUAAACCAUGCACCGAAGCUGCGGCAGCGACACUUUAGUGUUGUUGGGUAGGGGAGCGUUCUGUAAGCCGUUGAAGGUGGCCUGUGAGGGUUGCUGGAGGUAUCAGAAGUGCGAAUGCUGACAUAAGUAACGAUAAAGCGGGUGAAAAGCCCGCUCGCCGGAAGACCAAGGGUUCCUGUCCAACGUUAAUCGGGGCAGGGUGAGUCGACCCCUAAGGCGAGGCCGAAAGGCGUAGUCGAUGGGAAACGGGUUAAUAUUCCCGUACUUGGUGUUACUGCGAAGGGGGGACGGAGAAGGCUAUGUUGGCCGGGCGACGGUAGUCCCGGUUUAAGCGUGUAGGUGUAUGUUCCAGGCAAAUCCGGUUCAUUUUAACACUGAGGCGUGAUGACGAGGCACCACGGUGCUGAAGCAACAAAUGCCCUGCUUCCAGGAAAAGCCUCUAAGCAUCAGGUAACAUCAAAUCGUACCCCAAACCGACACAGGUGGUCAGGUAGAGAAUACCAAGGCGCUUGAGAGAACUCGGGUGAAGGAACUAGGCAAAAUGGUGCCGUAACUUCGGGAGAAGGCACGCUGACACGUAGGUGAAGUGAUUUACUCAUGGAGCUGAAGUCAGUCGAAGAUACCAGCUGGCUGCAACUGUUUAUUAAAAACACAGCACUGUGCAAACACGAAAGUGGACGUAUACGGUGUGACGCCUGCCCGGUGCCGGAAGGUUAAUUGAUGGGGUCAGCGCAAGCGAAGCUCCUGAUCGAAGCCCCGGUAAACGGCGGCCGUAACUAUAACGGUCCUAAGGUAGCGAAAUUCCUUGUCGGGUAAGUUCCGACCUGCACGAAUGGCGUAAUGAUGGCCAGGCUGUCUCCACCCGAGACUCAGUGAAAUUGAACUCGCUGUGAAGAUGCAGUGUACCCGCGGCAAGACGGAAAGACCCCGUGAACCUUUACUAUAGCUUGACACUGAACAUUGAGCCUUGAUGUGUAGGAUAGGUGGGAGGCUUUGAAGCGUGGACGCCAGUCUGCGUGGAGCCGACCUUGAAAUACCACCCUUUAAUGUUUGAUGUUCUAACGUGGACCCGUGAUCCGGGUUGCGGACAGUGUCUGGUGGGUAGUUUGACUGGGGCGGUCUCCUCCUAAAGAGUAACGGAGGAGCACGAAGGUUGGCUAAUCCUGGUCGGACAUCAGGAGGUUAGUGCAAUGGCAUAAGCCAGCUUGACUGCGAGCGUGACGGCGCGAGCAGGUGCGAAAGCAGGUCAUAGUGAUCCGGUGGUUCUGAAUGGAAGGGCCAUCGCUCAACGGAUAAAAGGUACUCCGGGGAUAACAGGCUGAUACCGCCCAAGAGUUCAUAUCGACGGCGGUGUUUGGCACCUCGAUGUCGGCUCAUCACAUCCUGGGGCUGAAGUAGGUCCCAAGGGUAUGGCUGUUCGCCAUUUAAAGUGGUACGCGAGCUGGGUUUAGAACGUCGUGAGACAGUUCGGUCCCUAUCUGCCGUGGGCGCUGGAAGAUUGAGGGGGGCUGCUCCUAGUACGAGAGGACCGGAGUGGACGCAUCACUGGUGUUCGGGUUGUCAUGCCAAUGGCACUGCCCGGUAGCUAAAUGCGGAAAAGAUAAGUGCUGAAAGCAUCUAAGCACGAAACUUGCCCCGAGAUGAGUCUUCCCUGAGACUUUGAGUCUCCUGAAGGAACGUUAAAGACGAUGACGUUGAUAGGCCGGGUGUGUAAGCGCAGCGAUGCGUUGAGCUAACCGGUACUAAUGAACCGUGAGGCUUAACCUUACAACGCCGAAG